This 253-nucleotide ribosomal RNA is filed under the name uncultured bacterium. RNAcentral's name for it is "partial 16S ribosomal RNA". It matches the Rfam family "Bacterial small subunit ribosomal RNA", at positions 524 to 776 of the family's 1533-position model. The record is from RNAcentral.
UACGUAGGGUGCAGGCGUUAAUCGGAAUUACUGGGCGUAAAGCGUGCGCAGGCGGUUUCUUAAGUCAGAUGUGAAAGCCCCGGGCUUAACCUGGGAAUUGCGUUUGAAACUGGGAGACUUGAGUGUGGCAGAGGGGGGUGGAAUUCCACGUGUAGCAGUGAAAUGCGUAGAUAUGUGGAGGAACACCGAUGGCGAAGGCAGCUCGCUGGGACGGUACUGACGCUGAGACGCGAAAGCGUGGGGAGCAAACAGG